Long non-coding RNA from Oncorhynchus tshawytscha (Chinook salmon), 445 nucleotides. The record is from Ensembl. NCBI's taxonomy places the organism in Eukaryota, Metazoa, Chordata, Actinopteri, Salmoniformes, Salmonidae.
CAGGUAGCCUAGUGGUUAGAGCAGGUAGCCUAGUGGUUAGAGGAGGCAGGUAGCCUAGUGGUUAGAGGAGGCAGGUAGCCUAGUGGUUAGAGGAGGCAGGUAGCCUAGUGGUUAGAGGAGGCAGGUAGCCUAGUGGUUAGAGGAGGCAGGUAGCCUAGUGGUUAGAGGAGGCAGGUAGCCUAGUGGUUAGAGGAGGCAGGUAGCCUAGUGGAUAGAGGCAGGUAGCCUAGUGGUUAGAGCAGGUAGCCUAGUGGUUAGAGCAGGUAGCCUAGUGGUUAGAGGGGGCAGGUAGCCUAGUGGUUAGAGCAGGUAGCCUAGUGGUUAGAGGAGGCAGGUAGCCUAGUGGUUAGAGGAGGCAGGUAGCCUAGUGGUUAGAGGAGGCAGGUAGCCUAGUGGUUAGAGCAGGUAGCCUAGUGGUUAGAGCAGGUAGCCUAGUGGUUAGAGG